UUUUAAGAGAGAAGGACUGGCUGCUUGGGAGAAAAGAGUACCUGGAGCGGAGCAGGGCCCAAGGAGCUGGGGAGCUCCAGCCUGGAAAAUCCCCAGGCUGCAGGCCUUACUAAAGGCCAGGAAAGGGACAAAGGCAGUAUAACCAUCAGCUGAGGAAAAAUUACAACUCCACCACAUAUGUAGUAGCAGAUCACCUAUUUAUCAGCUGAAACUGCUAAUAAGCAACCCAUGAAGAUGCUGAGCCAAUGACAGGAUAACAGCCAAGCCUGAAAAAGGUGUGUGUUUUCCUUCUUGUAUGAGGUUAUAAAACCAUCUAGAUUGAACAACCAAUGCACUCAGAUCUUCAUCCACUCAUCACAGCCACACAUCUUUGCUCAGCCUGUCUCUAGAAGCAAGGCUACUAAGAAGAUAGUCACAAAGCGCCAUCAAGAAGCAGCAACCUUUCAUUUCAGAGGACACCACCACCAAAACUUCAAUAUGAAUUGAAAAUCAGGAAAAGCUGAUACCAGCUGAAGAGCAACCCAAAAUACCAUGACCAUCAACUGGCGGGACUGUGUGUGUGUGAGA
Chelonia mydas (Green sea turtle) is the source of this 567-nucleotide long non-coding RNA. RefSeq lists it as uncharacterized. The transcript has 3 exons. The record is from RefSeq and is a predicted model, not a curated record. NCBI's taxonomy places the organism in Eukaryota, Metazoa, Chordata, Testudines, Cheloniidae.